GUGAGGAAUAUUGGUCAAUGGGCGGGAGCCUGAACCAGCCAAGUCGCGUGAAGGAAGAAGGAUCUAUGGUUCGUAAACUUCUUUUGCAGGGGAAUAAAGUGCAGGACGUGUCCUGUUUUGUAUGUACCCUGAGAAUAAGGAUCGGCUAACUCCGUGCCAGCAGCCGCGGUAAUACGGAGGAUCCGUGCGUUAUCCGGACUUAUUGGGUCUCAAGGGUGCGUAGGUGGUUUGAUAAGUCAGCGGUGAAAGUUUGCAGCUUAACUGUAGAAAUGCCGUUGAAACUGUCGGACUUGAGUGUAAAUGAGGUAGGCGGAAUGCGUGGUGUAGCGGUGAAAUGCAUAGCUAUCACGCAGAACUCCGAUUGCGAAGGCAGCUUACUAAGCUACAACUGACACUGAAGCACGAAAGCGUGGGGAUCAAACAGGAUUAGAUACCCUGGUAGUCC
This 445-nucleotide ribosomal RNA is filed under the name uncultured bacterium. RNAcentral's name for it is "partial 16S ribosomal RNA". It matches the Rfam family "Bacterial small subunit ribosomal RNA", at positions 354 to 796 of the family's 1533-position model. The record is from RNAcentral.